AGUGAACGCUGGCGGUAGGCCUAACACAUGCAAGUCGAACGGCAGCACAGUAAGAGCUUGCUCUUACGGGUGGCGAGUGGCGGACGGGUGCGGAAUACAUCGGAAUCUACUUUUUCGUGGGGGAUAACGUAGGGAAACUUACGCUAAUACCGCAUACGACCUACGGGUGAAAGCAUGGGAUCUUCGGACCUUGCGCGAUUGAAUGAGCCGAUGUCGGAUUAGCUAGUUGGCGGGGUAAAGGCCCACCAAGGCGACGAUCCGUAGCUGGUCUGAGAGGAUGAUCAGCCACACUGGAACUGAGACACGGUCCAGACUCCUACGGGAGGCAGCAGUGGGGAAUAUUGGACAAUGGGCGCAAGCCUGAUCCAGCCAUGCCGCGUGGGUGAAGAAGGCCUUCGGGUUGUAAAGCCCUUUUGUUGGGAAAGAAAAGCAGCAGGUUAAUACCCCGCUGUUCUGACGGUACCCAAAGAAUAAGCACCGGCUAACUUCGUG
Molecule: ribosomal RNA, 492 nt
Filed under: uncultured bacterium
Lineage: Bacteria
Description: partial 16S ribosomal RNA
Rfam family: Bacterial small subunit ribosomal RNA
Source: RNAcentral